AUGAGGCUUUGGUUGUAUCUCGUUCUCAUUGCAGCAGCGUUUGAAGGUGUCCUGUCCCAGGUGCAGCUGGUGGAGUCCGGAGGGGAUGUGAAAAAGCCCGGAGACUUUCUCCGCCUCUCCUGCAAAGCCUCCGGGUUCACCUUCGGUGACUACGAGAUGAGCUGGGUCCGCCAGGCUCCCGGGAAGGGGCUGGAGUGGGUCGCCAGCAUUUACAGCACCAGCAUAUACUACAGUGACUCGGUAAAAGGGCGAUUCACCGUCUCCAGAGAUGACCCCAACAGCCUGUUGUACCUGCAAAUGACCGGCCUGAAGCCCGAGGACACCGCCCGCUAUUACUGUGCGAGAGACACAGUGAGGGGAAUCCCGAUACUGCUAAUACAAAAACUCAAGAUGCAGAAUCGUCCUUCCGCCAUUCGCCGCGCGGGGGCAGCACUUCCCCGAACAAUCCAGCCCUGGGCACAGGAACGGGAGCUACAACCAGAGCGAAAAAUCAUCUCUCGUCAGGUAUCGUCUCUCAAGUGCAGCUGGUCCAGUCCGUUCCAGGAGCGGUGAACCCUGGACAGUCCCUCACACUGAGCUGUGCUGUCUCUCUGGUGAAACUGUGGAGAGUGGCUCUGCUUGGACCUUGGUCAGGCAGCCUGUAGGGAACGGGCUGGAGUGGAUGGAACAUAUUUUCCAAAAUGUUGAUGACGAGUUGGAAACAGAUUAUGCCCCGUCUCUCCAAACCGAUUUACCAUCUCUGCAGACACCGCCAAGAACCAGG
This is a non-coding RNA of Mauremys mutica (yellowpond turtle), 763 nucleotides long. Lineage: Eukaryota; Metazoa; Chordata; Testudines; Geoemydidae. The record is from the annotation of a RefSeq genome assembly.